Molecule: long non-coding RNA, 2020 nt
Organism: Zalophus californianus (California sea lion)
Lineage: Eukaryota; Metazoa; Chordata; Mammalia; Carnivora; Otariidae
Exons: 6
Source: RefSeq, a predicted model, not a curated record
GGUUGGGUUUGCUCUCUCUGCGUGUCUGGGGCGGGGGUGGCCCGUAGUGUCGAUCGCCAAGUGAGAGGAUUUAGGGGUGUUGGGGCCUGUACGUUUCCGUAGCUAAUAAGUACUAUUGUAGUCAACUUGCCCGAGAGCCAGAAGGGAGCCCAGCCCGCAAGGCGGUCGCACCACCCUCGCCUGCACCCACCCUCGCCCGCGGCUCCCGCCAGCCGACUCGCUGAGGCCCACCUCGCGGUUCUUUCUGUGGGAGCAAGACUGCACCGCCCAGGGGACCCACAGACCCUUGAGAGGGUACACAAGCCCCAGAGGUCUCAUUGAAAACCAUGGAGAGAGACACACGGCUUAGCAGCCAGGAGCAGGAGGUGGUGCUGUGAGUGGGAAAGAUACUAGCCCAGGCAUCAGGAAGACCAACUCUUUCGGCAAGCCACUUCACCUUCCAGUUUGAUGAUCUCUAAAAUGAGUAUAAUGGGAGAAGAAGCACUGAUGGAAGUGCUGCUCUCAGCGCUCUCACCCUGGCCACUGGGUCUCUUUGAAGCUCAAGGCAGAGGCCAGUGAUCCACAGUGGAGAAGUGAACAUUCCAUCUCAUUUGAUCUCCAGACAACUCACUGAAUUCACUUUUCGCAUCCACAUUUUUCACCAAGUAGCAUUGACGAGAGAGAGAGGCAGAGCUUGUGGCAAUGUGAGAUUUCAGAUCCCGGGCUGCAGAGGUCCUCCGUCUGCUUCCUUCCCCUGGGCCUGCUCAACAGCAGCACAAUGACCCACGGAUGGGGCCUCCCAGGCGCAUGUUCUAGAAGCUGUAGUUACAGGACCGAGGAGGCCUGCCCUACUGCCAGCAGACUUUACCUGAAUGAGAAACAGAGAGAGAGAACACAAGCGGGGGAGCGGCAGAGAGAGAGAGAGAGAAGCAGGGUCGCCGCCGAGCGGGGAGCCCGUCGCGGGACUUGAUCCCAGGACCCCGGGAUCAUGACCUGAGCCGAAGGCGGACGCUUCACCGACUGAGCCACCCAGGUGCCCCUCUAGUAAUAUUUUUAUCGUUGAAUUCUACUUUAAUUCUACUGUGGUCAGAGACAUACUCUCUAUGAUUUCAGUCCUUUGAAAUUUAUUGAGAAUUUGCUUUAUGGCUGAACAUAAAGUCAAUUUUAGUAAGUUUUGCAUGUGCCCCCAAAAGGUGUGUAUUCUGUCUUUGCUGAGGGUGUCGUUCUAUGGAUGCCAAUUAAGUUGUGAUUUUAUACAGGUCUUCUGUAUAUUUGUUGACUUUGUUAUUUAUAUCUUUACUGACUUUUUAUCUAUAAAAACUAUUGUCUCUUGGUGACUCUUAGUCUAUUAAUGGUCUAUUAGCUACUGUGAGAAGGAUGUUCAGGUGACCAGUUUUGAUUGUGCAUUUACCUACUUCUUCAUAUAGCUCUGUCAUGUUUUGCUUUACAUAUAUUGAAGAUAUGUUAUUAGAUGUGUAGAAAGUUCUGUUUCCUCUUCCUGGUAGAUUUACCCUCUUCUCACUGAGCAUACUCUCUCGUUAUUUCUCGUAAUGCUUCUUGCCUUAAAGUCCACCAUCUUUGACAUUAGUGUGGCUCCAUCGAAUUCCUUUUGGUUAGUGUUUGCCUUGUUUAUCUUUUGCCAUCCUUUUACUUCUAAUCUGUCUAUGUUCCUAUAUUUAAGACAUAUUUUUGUAAGCAGCAUGUAGCUGGGUUUUGUUUUCCAUCCAGUCUAGCAAACUUUGUAUUGUAAUUAUUCCACUAACAUUUAAUGUUAGACUGAUACAUUUGUUUUCCAUUUGUCCCACUUAUUUUUAUGUCUCUUUCUCUCUACUCUGUUGCCUUUUAUUUUGUUAUUUCAUUUCCUUUUCAUUAGUUUGAUAGUCAUACAUUAUUUUCCUAUUCUGGUCUGAUGUCAUUAGAGAUUAUCGACCCAUCUACUGACCCUGGAGUGCCUGGUGUGUGCUGGGCAUCACAGAAGGUGCUUUACAAAAUUAAGCUCUAUUCUUGACCACCUCACUGAGCAGUUUUAAUUAUUCCCAUG